Molecule: ribosomal RNA, 649 nt
Filed under: uncultured bacterium
Lineage: Bacteria
Description: bacterial SSU rRNA
Rfam family: Bacterial small subunit ribosomal RNA
Source: RNAcentral
UGACGCUGAUGAACGAAAGCGUGGGGAGCGAACAGGAUUAGAUACCCUGGUAGUCCACACCGUAAACGAUGAUUACUCGCUGUAGGCGAUACACAGUCUGUGGCUAAGCGAAAGUUUUAAGUAAUCCACCUGGGGAGUACGAUCGCAAGAUUGAAACUCAAAGGAAUUGACGGGGGCCCGCACAAGCGGAGGAACAUGUGGUUUAAUUCGAUGAUACGCGAGGAACCUUACCUGGACUUAAAUGUGCGUUGCAUAGAUCAGAGAUGGUCUUUUCUUCGGACUACGUACAAGGUGCUGCAUGGUUGUCGUCAGCUCGUGCCGUGAGGUGUCGGGUUAAGUCCCAUAACGAGCGCAACCCUUAUCCUUAGUUGCCAGCGGGUAGAGCCGGGGACUCUGAGGAGACUGCCACCGUAAGGUGUGAGGAAGGUGGGGAUGACGUCAAAUCAGCACGGCCCUUAUGUCCAGGGCGACACACGUGUUACAAUGGACGGUACAAAGGGCAGCUACCUGGUGACAGGAUGCUAAUCUCUAAAGCCGUUCUCAGUUCGGAUCGAAGUCUGUAACCCGACUUCGUGAAGCUGGAUUCGCUAGUAAUCGCGCAUCAGCCAUGGCGCGGUGAAUACGUUCCCGGGCCUUGUACACACCGCCC